Ictalurus punctatus (channel catfish) is the source of this 567-nucleotide long non-coding RNA. The record is from Ensembl. Lineage: Eukaryota; Metazoa; Chordata; Actinopteri; Siluriformes; Ictaluridae.
AAAGAACACGAGUAGACGAUAAAAGAACACGAGUAGACGAUAAAAGAACACGAGUAGAGGAUAAAAGAACACGAGUAGAGGAUAAAAGAACACGAGUAGAGCGAUAAAAGAACCGAGUAGACGAUAAAAGAACACGAGUAGAGACGAUAAAAGAACACGAGUAGACGAUAAAAGAACACGAGUAGACGAUAAAAGAACGCGAGUAGAGGAUAAAAGAACGCGAGUAGAGGAUAAAAGAACGCGAGUAGAGACGAUAAAAGAACGCGAGUAGAGACGAUAAAAGAACGCGAGUAGAGGAUAAAAGAACGCGAGUAGAGAUAAAAGAACGCGAGUAGAGGAUAAAAGAACGCGAGUAGACGAUAAAAGAACGCGAUUAGAGGAUAAAAGAACACGAGUAGAGGAUAAAAGAACACGAGUAGAGGAUAAAAGAACACGAGUAGAGCGAUAAAAGAACACGAGUAGAGACGAUAAAAGAACACGAGUAGAGGAUAAAAGAACACGAGUAGAGGAUAAAAGAACACGAGUAGAGGAUAAAAGAACACGAGUAGAGGAUAAAAGAACACGAGC